Molecule: ribosomal RNA, 587 nt
Filed under: uncultured haloarchaeon
Lineage: Archaea; Methanobacteriati; Methanobacteriota; Halobacteria; Halobacteriales; Halobacteriaceae
Description: bacterial SSU rRNA
Rfam family: Archaeal small subunit ribosomal RNA
Source: RNAcentral
GCAGGCGCGAAACCUUUACACUGCACGACAGUGCGAUAGGGGGAUCCCAAGUGCACAGGCAUAGCGCCUGUGCUUUUCGGUACCCUAAGGCGGUACCAGAAUAAGGGCUGGGCAAGACCGGUGCCAGCCGCCACGGUAAUACCGGCAGCCCAAGUGAUGGCCGAUCUUAUUGGGCCUAAAGCGUCCGUAGCUGGCCGUACAAGUCCAUCGGGAAAUCCACCUGCUCAACAGGUGGGCGCCCGGUAGAAACUGUGCGGCUUGGGACCGGAAGGCGCGACGGGUACGUCCGGGGUAGGAGUGAAAUCCCGUAAUCCUGGACGGACCGCCGAUGGCGAAAGCACGUCGCGAGAACGGAUCCGACAGUGAGGGACGAAAGCCAGGGUCUCGAACCGGAUUAGAUACCCGGGUAGUCCUGGCCGUAAACAAUGUCUGCUAGGUGUGGCUCCCACUACGAGUGGGUGCUGUGCCGUAGGGAAGCCGCUAAGCAGACCGCCUGGGAAGUACGUCCGCAAGGAUGAAACUUAAAGGAAUUGGCGGGGGAGCACUACAACCGGAGGAGCCUGCGGUUUAAUUGGAUUCAACGCCGG